This is a long non-coding RNA of Aedes aegypti (yellow fever mosquito), 573 nucleotides long. RefSeq lists it as uncharacterized. The record is from RefSeq and is a predicted model, not a curated record. The transcript is spliced from 2 exons. Lineage: Eukaryota; Metazoa; Arthropoda; Insecta; Diptera; Culicidae.
GAUUCUGCUGUCACGAACUGUCACUGCGAGCCCAGAUCUCAAUCAAUGGACAAACAUGAUAAAAGCGCGUAACUGAUCAAAAAAUUUCAUCACAGUUGAAAACAAUCGGAUCAAAAUCGACUCCUGCACACCCAAAAGCAAUGUAACACCUUUUAGUUUGAUUGAAUAAAAUGUAUUGAAAUACGCGUCUUUUCACACUUUUCCAAUUAAAAUUAAAAUUAAAUGCAUAGAAACCUGUGGCCCUUGUGUUUGCCUAGGAAGAUCGAAGGUACACAACUAAAGAUAACUAGCUAUUUUCCCAAAGCCUGCCUUGAUUGUUGUUGGAGAGCUUGAGCUGGGGAAACUACAGUUUUUCGUCACAUUUCAAACAACCGCGAAGAUAAUUAGCUGCAGCGAUUCCAGCGAUACUUUGUAUGUUCUGCGGACAUUUCUCCAUUCCAUUCGACAUCCGUUUUCCGGAAAGAUGUUGGGAGCAGCUCGAAAAGUCCGUGUGGACAAACUCAAUGAGAAUUACUUGGAUGAAUUAUUACAAUGCUAAAAUGUGGUAAAAAAUGCAAUACGUUGUGAACAGUU